RNAcentral lists this ribosomal RNA (783 nucleotides) under Micrococcus sp. G12-22B. Its description in RNAcentral is "bacterial SSU rRNA". It matches the Rfam family "Bacterial small subunit ribosomal RNA". Lineage: Bacteria; Bacillati; Actinomycetota; Actinomycetes; Micrococcales; Micrococcaceae. The record is from RNAcentral.
AACCGGGUGAGUAACACGUGAGUAACCUGCCCUUGACUCUGGGAUAAGCCUGGGAAACUGGGUCUAAUACUGGAUAUGACUUCUCAUCGCAUGGUGGGGGUGGAAAGAUUUAUUGGUCUUGGAUGGACUCGCGGCCUAUCAGCUUGUUGGUGAGGUAAUGGCUCACCAAGGCGACGACGGGUAGCCGGCCUGAGAGGGUGACCGGCCACACUGGGACUGAGACACGGCCCAGACUCCUACGGGAGGCAGCAGUGGGGAAUAUUGCACAAUGGGCGCAAGCCUGAUGCAGCGACGCCGCGUGAGGGAUGACGGCCUUCGGGUUGUAAACCUCUUUCAGUAGGGAAGAAGCGAGAGUGACGGUACCUGCAGAAGAAGCGCCGGCUAACUACGUGCCAGCAGCCGCGGUAAUACGUAGGGCGCGAGCGUUAUCCGGAAUUAUUGGGCGUAAAGAGCUCGUAGGCGGUUUGUCGCGUCUGCCGUGAAAGUCCGGGGCUUAACUCCGGAUCUGCGGUGGGUACGGGCAGACUAGAGUGCAGUAGGGGAGACUGGAAUUUCCUGGUGUAGCGGUGAAAUGCGCAGAUAUCAGGAGGAACACCGAUGGCGAAGGCAGGUCUCUGGGCUGUGAACUGACCUUAGGACAAACUGGGAACAACAGGAUUAAUACCUGUUCCAUCCAACUGGCCUAGUUGGGAAUUCCUUUCCCGCCUACUUAUCCCCUCGGGAUAGCCGGAAACAAGAUAGGCCAGGGAUAGUUAACACAAACAUGUUUCUCACGCAGAUUCG